ACGGGAGGCAGCAGUGGGGAAUAUUGCACAAUGGGGGAAACCCUGAUGCAGCGACGCCGCGUGAACGAAGAAGUAUUUCGGUAUGUAAAGUUCUAUCAGCAGGGAAGAAAAUGACGGUACCUGACUAAGAAGCCCCGGCUAACUACGUGCCAGCAGCCGCGGUAAUACGUAGGGGGCAAGCGUUAUCCGGAUUUACUGGGUGUAAAGGGAGCGUAGACGGCAUUGCAAGUCUGAAGUGAAACUCCGGGGCUCAACCCCGGAACUGCUUUGGAAACUGCAGAGCUUGAGUACCGGAGGGGUAAGCGGAAUUCCUAGUGUAGCGGUGAAAUGCGUAGAUAUUAGGAGGAACACCAGUGGCGAAGGCGGCUUACUGGACGGUAACCGACGUUGAGGCUCGAAAGCGUGGGGAGCAAACAGGAUUAGAUACCCUGGUA
This 434-nucleotide ribosomal RNA is filed under the name uncultured Lachnospiraceae bacterium. RNAcentral describes it as "partial 16S ribosomal RNA". It matches the Rfam family "Bacterial small subunit ribosomal RNA", at positions 341 to 792 of the family's 1533-position model. Lineage: Bacteria; Bacillati; Bacillota; Clostridia; Lachnospirales; Lachnospiraceae. The record is from RNAcentral.